Molecule: long non-coding RNA, 333 nt
Organism: Lynx canadensis (Canada lynx)
Lineage: Eukaryota; Metazoa; Chordata; Mammalia; Carnivora; Felidae
Exons: 3
Source: RefSeq, a predicted model, not a curated record
UCUACUGACUGAGCCAGCCAGCCGCCCCUCUACAGGAAAAGAAGAUGGUAAUGAGCCCAGUAGAAGUAACAAGCCCUGUGAUGGGUAAAGCUCCACACAACUCUCAGGGGCCUUUGAUAACCUGCAUCGAGUAUUUCCAUCAAGCGCUACAGGCUGCUGAGAAGACUGUACAUCCUGACAGUAAUAACGGCCACCAUUCAAUGGACACAGAGCUAAGCACUGCCUGCUGUUUGUCCUCCUUAUUUAAUCCUCACAACCCACUGAAGGCAUGCUGUUCUCCCAGUUUUAUAAGAAACUGAGGCUCAGAGGGGUUAAACCAUCUGUCCAAGGUCA